This 495-nucleotide ribosomal RNA is filed under the name uncultured bacterium. RNAcentral's name for it is "partial 16S ribosomal RNA". It matches the Rfam family "Bacterial small subunit ribosomal RNA", at positions 28 to 507 of the family's 1533-position model. The record is from RNAcentral.
GACGAACGCUGGCGGCGUGCCUAAUACAUGCAAGUAGAACGCUGAAGGAGGAGCUUGCUUCUCUGGAUGAGUUGCGAACGGGUGAGUAACGCGUAGGUAACCUGCCUGGUAGCGGGGGAUAACUAUUGGAAACGAUAGCUAAUACCGCAUAAUAGUAGAUGUUGCAUGACAUUUGCUUAAAAGGUGCAAUUGCAUCACUACCAGAUGGACCUGCGUUGUAUUAGCUAGUUGGUGGGGUAACGGCUCACCAAGGCGACGAUACAUAGCCGACCUGAGAGGGUGAUCGGCCAUACUGGGACUGAGACACGGCCCAGACUCCUACGGGAGGCAGCAGUAGGGAAUCUUCGGCAAUGGACGGAAGUCUGACCGAGCAACGCCGCGUGAGUGAAGAAGGUUUUCGGAUCGUAAAGCUCUGUUGUAAGAGAAGAACGAGUGUGAGAGUGGAAAGUUCACACUGUGACGGUAUCUUACCAGAAAGGGACGGCUAACUACGUG